GAUGAACGCUGGCGGCGUGCCUAAUACAUGCAAGUCGAGCGAACAGACGAGGAGCUUGCUCCUCUGACGUUAGCGGCGGACGGGUGAGUAACACGUGGAUAACCUACCUAUAAGACUGGGAUAACUUCGGGAAACCGGAGCUAAUACCGGAUAAUAUAUUGAACCGCAUGGUUCAAUAGUGAAAGACGGUUUUGCUGUCACUUAUAGAUGGAUCCGCGCCGCAUUAGCUAGUUGGUAAGGUAACGGCUUACCAAGGCAACGAUGCGUAGCCGACCUGAGAGGGUGAUCGGCCACUCUGGAACUGAGACACGGUCCAGACUCCUACGGGAGGCAGCAGUAGGGAAUCUUCCGCAAUGGGCGAAAGCCUGACGGAGCAACGCCGCGUGAGUGAUGAAGGUCUUCGGAUCGCAAAACUCUGUUAUUAGGGAAGAACAAAUGUGUAAGUAACUAUGCACGUCUUGACGGUACCUAAUCAGAAAGCCACGGCUAACUACGUG
This 497-nucleotide ribosomal RNA is filed under the name uncultured bacterium. RNAcentral's name for it is "partial 16S ribosomal RNA". It matches the Rfam family "Bacterial small subunit ribosomal RNA", at positions 28 to 507 of the family's 1533-position model. The record is from RNAcentral.